CUCUUUGCCUGCUGCAAUCCAUGUAAGAUGUGACUUGUUCCUCCUUGCCUUCUGCCAUGAUUGUGAGGCCUCCACAGCCAUGCGGAACUGUUGAAAUACACACUACCUGAAGCUGGAUAACUCAUGAACUCUGUUGACAAUUAUAUUCUUUGUCUUUUUAAUUAACUCAUUUGGAGUUGGUGUCCUGAGGACCUAAGCCUAAGAAUCUUCAAGAUGGAAGAGUAGAGUGAACAAUGAAUGAGCCAGAGGGCUCUUGUCCUCUGUGUGCAGCUCUGGGCAGCCAGCAGGUGGAUAUGGGACUUGGCCUGCUGGAGGGGCCCUGGCAAGAGGAGCUGGCAGGAGCAGAUGGCAAAGAUGCACAUGAAAUUUGGUGCCGUGACUCGGAUUGGGGGACCUCCCUUGGGAGAUCAAUCCCCUGUACUCCUGUUCUUUGCUCCGUGAGAAAGAUCCACCUAUGACCCUCAGGUCCUCAGACCGACUAGCCCAAGGAACAUCUCACCAAUUUUAAAUCAGGUGGAGUCUCGCACUGUCAUCCUGGCUGGAAUGCAGUGGUGCAAGCCGACUCACUGCAACCUCUGCCUCUUGGGUUCAAGUGAUUCUCCUGCUUCAGCCUCCUGAUUUGCUGGGAUUGCAGACUUUGGGAAUCACCCAACUGAUGGAAAGAACCAGGAAAGGGGUCAGGAUCUGCACCUUGGCAAACUUUGAAGAACACCCAAUUUGAUGAAUGAAAACUCCUCACUUGUGCUCUGGUGGUGUUUUAGGACAAUGGGCCCCUCCUGGGUAAUAGUUAUUGAUGCAGUCUCUAUCAGUAACCACCCCAAGUUUGAGAUCCUUUACAAGGGAAGGUCAUAUUUCCAAAACUGAAACCUUGACCAAGUAUCCCAGAGAGAUAGGAAGGAGAUACCACUCAAGUGUGUCAUGGGCCUGUCCCAGGGCCUGGGAGUCAGCAGUUGGUGGCCUGGGAUCCAAGGGUUAACAGCAUGACCUGUUCUGGCUGGCACCAGUCACAUGGUGUGCCCAACCUCACUGUUAUUAUCUGUUUCGGGUGAGUCACUGAGAACACAGACAGGAAAGACCCAUGAACUUAGCUAGUUUCGCCCCAGGGUGUGAGACUCCACACAACUGAGUCUGGGCCACUGGCAGUGACUCAUGGCGGGCCUCAUGGGAUUGCUGACGCAAGGUUGGAAGGGCACGUGGUUCUUCCCCCCACCGCUGGGUAGAAUCCCCGCCAAAACAUCCAGGCUGGAAAUCCAUCUUGGUCCUUGGGGAGAGAGAAAAUAAAAAAGAAUCAUUUCUGAUACUAUA
Long non-coding RNA from Homo sapiens (human), 1305 nucleotides. Ensembl annotates it as long intergenic non-protein coding RNA 1705. Lineage: Eukaryota; Metazoa; Chordata; Mammalia; Primates; Hominidae. The record is from Ensembl.